RNAcentral lists this signal recognition particle RNA (117 nucleotides) under Chlorocebus sabaeus (green monkey). Its description in RNAcentral is "Metazoan signal recognition particle RNA". It matches the Rfam family "Metazoan signal recognition particle RNA". Rfam says of the family: The signal recognition particle (SRP) is a universally conserved ribonucleoprotein. It is involved in the co-translational targeting of proteins to membranes. Lineage: Eukaryota; Metazoa; Chordata; Mammalia; Primates; Cercopithecidae. The record is from Rfam by way of RNAcentral.
GCUGGGUGUGGUGGCGUGCACCUGUAGUCCAAGCUACUUGGGAGGCUGAGGCAGGAGGAUUGCUUGAGCCCAGGAGUUCAAGACCAGCCUGGACAACACAGCAAGAUCCUGUUUCUA